Molecule: ribosomal RNA, 484 nt
Filed under: uncultured bacterium
Lineage: Bacteria
Description: partial 16S ribosomal RNA
Rfam family: Bacterial small subunit ribosomal RNA
Source: RNAcentral
AUUGAACGCUGGCGGCAGGCCUAACACAUGCAAGUCGAGCGGAUGAAGGGAGCUUGCUCCUGGAUUCAGCGGCGGACGGGUGAGUAAUGCCUAGGAAUCUGCCUUGUAGUGGGGGAUAACGUCCGGAAACGGGCGCUAAUACCGCAUACGUCCUGAGGGAGAAAGUGGGGGAUCUUCGGACCUCACGCUAUCAGAUGAGCCUAGGUCGGAUUAGCUAGUUGGUGGGGUAAAGGCCUACCAAGGCGACGAUCCGUAACUGGUCUGAGAGGAUGAUCAGUCACACUGGAUCUGAGACACGGUACAGACUCCUACGGGAGGAAGCAGUGGGGAAUAUUGGACAAUGGGCGAAAGCCUGAUACAGCCAUGUCGCGUGUGUGCAGAAGGUCUUCGGAUUGUAAAGCAAUUUAAGUUGGGAGGAAGGGAAGUAAGUUAAUACCUGGCUGUUUUGACGUUACCAACAGAAUAAGCACCGGCUAACUUCGUG